CCGACCUUAGCUCAGUUGGUAGAGCGGAGGACUGUAGUGUUGCAGAAAAAAUCCUUAGGUCGCUGGUUCGAAUCCGGCAGGUCGGA
Molecule: transfer RNA, 86 nt
Filed under: Triticum dicoccoides
Lineage: Eukaryota; Viridiplantae; Streptophyta; Magnoliopsida; Poales; Poaceae
Description: tRNA tRNA-Tyr
Rfam family: tRNA
About the family: Transfer RNA (tRNA) molecules are approximately 80 nucleotides in length.
Source: RNAcentral